AUCCAGAUUCUAUUAGAAAACAGGAACGACAGAUAUGAUGAGAUCUGCCGGCACUGGGAAGGCGAUGUCCUGGGUUACAAGUCUGUGGCUCAGAUCGCCAAGCUCGAAAAGGCAAAGGCUAAAGAACUUGGCACUAAACUCGGUUAAAUGUAUACUAUUGAGUUUUCUGUACAUAAAAAUAAUUGAAAUAAUACAAAUUUUCCUUAAAAAAAAGAAAAAGAAAUAA
RNAcentral lists this long non-coding RNA (226 nucleotides) under Homo sapiens (human). RNAcentral describes it as "non-protein coding lnc-MANEA-11:1". Lineage: Eukaryota; Metazoa; Chordata; Mammalia; Primates; Hominidae. The record is from RNAcentral.